RNAcentral lists this ribosomal RNA (303 nucleotides) under uncultured bacterium. RNAcentral's name for it is "partial 16S ribosomal RNA". It matches the Rfam family "Bacterial small subunit ribosomal RNA", at positions 507 to 809 of the family's 1533-position model. The record is from RNAcentral.
AGCAGUAGCCGCGGUAAUACGAAGGGUGCAAGCGUUAAUCGGAAUUACUGGGCGUAAAGCGUGCGUAGGCGGUUUGUUAAGUCUGCUGUGAAAUCCCCGGGCUCAACCUGGGAAUGGCAGUGGAUACUGGCAAGCUAGAGUGUGUCAGAGGAUGGUGGAAUUCCCGGUGUAGCGGUGAAAUGCGUAGAGAUCGGGAGGAACAUCAGUGGCGAAGGCGGCCAUCUGGGACAACACUGACGCUGAGGCACGAAAGCGUGGGGAGCAAACAGGAUUAGAUACCCGAGUAGUCCCUGUCUCUUAUAA